This 2333-nucleotide ribosomal RNA is filed under the name human metagenome. RNAcentral's name for it is "bacterial LSU rRNA". It matches the Rfam family "Bacterial large subunit ribosomal RNA", at positions 760 to 2925 of the family's 2925-position model. The record is from RNAcentral.
GAGCGUGUGGAGGACCGAACCCACCUAGGUUGAAAACUGGGGGGAUGAGCUGUGGGUAGGGGUGAAAGGCCAAUCAAACUCCGUGAUAGCUGGUUCUCCCCGAAAUGCAUUUAGGUGCAGCGUUGCGUGUUGCCCGGCGGAGGUAGAGCUACUGGGUGGCUGAUGGGCCUUACAGGGUUACUGACGUCAACCAAACUCCGAAUGCCGCCUGGGUUGUAGCGUGGCAGUGAGACUGUGGGGGAUAAGCUCCGUGGUCGAGAGGGAAACAGCCCAGAUCGCCGGCUAAGGCCCCUAAGCGUGUGCUAAGUGGGAAAGGAUGUGCGGUCGCGCAGACAACCAGGAGGUUGGCUUAGAAGCAGCCAUCCUUGAAAGAGUGCGUAAUAGCUCACUGGUCAAGUGAUUCUGCGCCGAUAAUGUAGCGGGGCUCAAGUACACCGCCGAAGUUGUGGCAAUCAGUCUUUGUGGCUGGUUGGGUAGGGGAGCGUCCUGCACGAGGUGAAGCUGCCACGGGAGUGUGUGGUGGAUUGUGUGGGAGUGAGAAUGCAGGCAUGAGUAGCGAAUCACGGGUGAGAAACCCGUGCGCCGGAUGAUCAAGGGUUCCAGGGUCAAGUUAAUCUGCCCUGGGUUAGUCGGGGCCUAAGGCGAGGCCGACAGGCGUAGUCGAUGGAGAACGGGUUGAUAUUCCCGUACCAGUGAAGGACCGUCCAUACUGAUAUUGUGAUGCUAACCAUGCCGAUCACGGUGUCAUGAAGUUUUUCUUUGUGGUGUUGUGGGGUGUGUGGGACCCAAGCUUUGGAGGUAAGCGUGUUAACAGGUGUGACGCAGGAAGGUAGCCAAGCCACGCGGUGGUUGUCGUGGUCUAAGCGUGUAGGAUGACUGGUUGUUAAAUGCGCUGGUUGUGUGUCUGAGACGUGAUGGGACCCCUUGUUUGUGGGGGAUUUGGUGAUCCUAUGCUGCCGAGAAAAGCAUCGGCGUGAGGUUUUAGCUGCCCGUACCCGAAACCGACACAGGUGAUCAGGUAGAGAAUACUAAGGCGAUCGAGAGAAUCAUGGUUAAGGAACUCGGCAAAAUGCCCCCGUAACUUCGGGAGAAGGGGGGCCUGAACCUUGAAACAGCUGGCCUGUUAGGGGGGAGGGUCGCAGAGGCCAGGGGGAAGCGACUGUUUACUAAAAACACAGGUCCGUGCGAAGCCGUAAGGCGAUGUAUACGGACUGACGCCUGCCCGGUGCUGGAAGGUUAAGAGGAACCAUCAACCCCCUCGUGGGGUGAAGUGGUGAAUUUAAGCCCCAGUAAACGGCGGUGGUAACUAUAACCAUCCUAAGGUAGCGAAAUUCCUUGUCGGGUAAGUUCCGACCUGCACGAAUGGCGUAACGACUUCCCUACUGUCUCAACCAUGAGCUCGGCGAAAUUGCACUACGAGUAAAGAUGCUCGUUUCGCGCAGAAGGACGGAAAGACCCCGGGACCUUUACUAUAGCUUGGUAUUGGCGCCCGCUAUAGCUUGUGCAGGAUAGGUGGGAGACUGUGAAGCUGUCACGCUAGUGGUGGUGGAGUCGUCGUUGAAAUACCACUCUGGUUAUGGCGUGCGCCUGAACCUGGGCCCGUGAUCCGGGUUAGGGACAGUGCCUGGUGGGUAGUUUAACUGGGGCGGUUGCCUCCUAAAGUGUAACGGAGGCGCUCAAAGGUUCCCUCGGCCUGGUCGGUAACCAGGUGUUGAGUGUAAGUGCACAAGGGAGCUUGACUGUGAGACUGACGGGUCGAGCAGGUACGAAAGUAGGAACUAGUGAUCCGGCGAUCCCGUGUGGGUGGGUCGUCGCUCAACGGAUAAAAGGUACCCCGGGGAUAACAGGCUGAUCCUGCCCAAGAGUCCAUAUCGACGGCAUGGUUUGGCACCUCGAUGUCGGCUCGUCGCAUCCUGGGGCUGGAGUUGGUCCCAAGGGUUGGGCUGUUCGCCCAUUAAAGCGGUACGCGAGCUGGGUUUAGAACGUCGUGAGACAGUUCGGUCCCUAUCCUCUGCGCGCGCAGGAGACUUGAGAAGACCUGUCCCUAGUACGAGAGGACCGGGACGGACGAACCUCUGGUAUGCCAGUUGUUCCGCCAGGAGCACGGCUGGUUAGCUACGUCCGGACAUGGAUAACCGCUGAAAGCAUCUAAGCGGGAAACCAUCUUCAAGACCAGGUCUCCACCACCUCUCCUCCUUUCUUUUUCGCUAUAGUGAUAUAGAGGGGAGGGGUGGGAAGGCCCCCAGAUGAUGACUGGGUUGAUAGGCCGGAGGUGGACACCCAGUAACGGGCACCAAGCCGACCGGUACUAACACGGCCGAUCACACACAAGA